RNAcentral lists this long non-coding RNA (559 nucleotides) under Mytilus galloprovincialis (Mediterranean mussel). Lineage: Eukaryota; Metazoa; Mollusca; Bivalvia; Mytilida; Mytilidae. The record is from RNAcentral.
UUAUUUUAUCAAUAUUGUUUUUCUUGUAUGGAGACCAUACUGAACUAGCAUAGUCCAAAUGAGUUUUGAUCAUGGUUUUAUACAAUGCUAUGAAUGUCUCAGUACCCAAGUAUUUGAAAGUUCUUUUGCGAACUUCAAAAAUGAAGUUGGCCUUAUUCAAGUUUUCACUCUUUAACCUUUGCUAUUGUAUGGUUUAGUAGACUGUGAUUUGUUGAGUGGUCAGUGUUAUUUGAUUUCUUACAUAUUUUGAUGUAUUUACAUUUUUCAGGGUGAAACGUUAGUAGCCAUUUGUCAAUUUUCUUCUUUUGCUUUUGAUUAUUGUCCUUUAUUAUUUAAUAGAUUUCAAUCUUGCAUUUUUUAUUCUGCUUUAUUACAAUUUUCAAAUUUUGUACAGGUUAAAACCAUUUUUAAGCAGUAUUUUGUACAUGUUGUAACAUGUACGAGGUACUUUUGUACAUGUUAUAACUUGUAUUUUGGCAUUGUACAGGUUAUAACAUGUACAAUAUUUUUGUACGUAUUAUAACCUGUACAAAAUUCCAACUUGUACACGACAUAUAUA